Molecule: ribosomal RNA, 465 nt
Filed under: Triticum aestivum (bread wheat)
Lineage: Eukaryota; Viridiplantae; Streptophyta; Magnoliopsida; Poales; Poaceae
Description: partial small subunit ribosomal RNA
Source: RNAcentral
AUGGUAAACGUACCAAGACGGACAAGAGUCCCUGGAUGGAACUGUUGGAACUGCCGGGGGGUGGGGAACUGCCGGACAGUUCGUGAGGUGUUGGCCCUCGCAAAAACUAACAUCCCCAAGUUUGUCUUUCUAUGUGAGACAAGGCAAACUAAAGAGAAGAUGGAGAAGUUUAGAUGGAGGCUGGGCUUAAAGGGUUUUUGUGGUGUUAGUAGUAAUGGAAGAAGUGGUGGUUUGGCCCUUUUUUGGGGCGAAUCGUUAAUGGUGACUGUAUUGGAUAGUUGUGCAUGCUACAUUGAUGUGCAGGUGACGGACAAUGGUACUGAUGUCAGCUGGCGAGGUAUCUUUAUGUACGGCGAACCACGGGUGGAAAAUCGCCAUUUAAUGUGGGAUCAUCUCUCUCAAUUACGUGCUAUCUCCCAAGGCACGUGGUUUGUUUGUGGAGACUUUAAUGAGGCUAUGUGGUAG